RNAcentral lists this ribosomal RNA (814 nucleotides) under uncultured Neocallimastigales. RNAcentral's name for it is "partial large subunit ribosomal RNA". Lineage: Eukaryota; Fungi; Neocallimastigomycota; Neocallimastigomycetes; Neocallimastigales. The record is from RNAcentral.
CGCAUCUGUGCAUGCAGCAUAUCAAUAAGCGGAGGAAAAGGCUGCGGAACUGAACGACCGAUACCUACGCUUAGGAUGUUGACGAGACUGUCGAUCUCAUCUAUACAUGACUCUGUGCAUAUCAAUAAGCGGAGGAAAAGUACCUACGCUUAGGAUGUUGACACACGCGCGUGCUCGACUCUAUACAUGACUCUGCGCAUAUCAAUAAGCGGAGGAAAAGGCUGCGGAACUGAACGACCGCUACCUACGCUUAGGAUGUUGACGAGACUGUCGAUCUCAUCUAUACAUGACUCUGUGCAUAUCAAUAAGCGGAGGAAAAGGAGUAUACCUACGCUUAGGAUGUUGACGAGACUGUCGAUCUCAUCUAUACAUGACUCUGUGCAUAUCAAUAAGCGGAGGAAAAGAGGGCUAUUACCUACGCUUAGGAUGUUGACGAGACUGUCGAUCUCAUCUAUGCAUGACUAGGCAUAUCAAUAAGCGGAGGAAAAGUGGCUAGUUACCUACGCUCUAGGAUGUUGACGAGACUGUCGAUCUCAUCUAUACAUGACUCUGUGUAUAUCAAUAAGCGGAGGAAAAGGUACCUACGCUUAGGAUGUUGAAGAUGUAGCACAUCAUACACGCAUGACACACUGCAUAUCAAUAAGCGGAGGAAAAGUCUGCUGAACUGAACGACCGCUACCUACGCUUAGGAUGUUGACGCGCGUGUGUGCGUGAGUCUAUACAUGACUCUGCGCAUAUCAAUAAGCGGAGGAAAAGGCUGCAGAACUGAACGACCGCUACCUACGCUUAGGAUGUUGAGCGCAUGUCUCUCUCU